Molecule: ribosomal RNA, 253 nt
Filed under: uncultured bacterium
Lineage: Bacteria
Description: partial 16S ribosomal RNA
Rfam family: Bacterial small subunit ribosomal RNA
Source: RNAcentral
UACGUAGGGUCCGAGCGUUGUCCGGAAUUAUUGGGCGUAAAGGGCUCGUAGGCGGUUUGUCGCGUCGGGAGUGAAAACUCAGGGCUCAACCCUGAGCGUGCUUCCGAUACGGGCAGACUAGAGGUAUUCAGGGGAGAACGGAAUUCCUGGUGUAGCGGUGGAAUGCGCAGAUAUCAGGAGGAACACCGGUGGCGAAGGCGGUUCUCUGGGAAUUACCUGACGCUGAGGAGCGAAAGCAUGGGGAGCGAACGGG